GGGGAAUUUUCCGCAAUGGGCGCAAGCCUGACGGAGCAACGCCGCGUGAGGGAUGAAGGCCUCUGGGCUGUAAACCUCUUUUCUCAAGGAAGAAGAUCUGACGGUACUUGAGGAAUAAGCCACGGCUAAUUCCGUGCCAGCAGCCGCGGUAAUACGGGAGUGGCAAGCGUUAUCCGGAAUUAUUGGGCGUAAAGCGUCCGCAGGCGGCCUUGAAAGUCUGUUGUUAAAGCGUGGAGCUUAACUCCAUUUCAGCAAUGGAAACUACAAGGCUAGAGUGUGGUAGGGGCAGAGGGAAUUCCCGGUGUAGCGGUGAAAUGCGUANAUAUCGGGAAGAACACCAGUGGCGAAGGCGCUCUGCUGGGCCAUAACUGACGCUCAUGGACGAUAGUAAUAGGAGNGNNNGGGNUUAGAUACCCCUNNNGUC
RNAcentral lists this ribosomal RNA (424 nucleotides) under uncultured cyanobacterium. Its description in RNAcentral is "partial 16S ribosomal RNA". It matches the Rfam family "Bacterial small subunit ribosomal RNA", at positions 356 to 795 of the family's 1533-position model. The record is from RNAcentral. Lineage: Bacteria; Bacillati; Cyanobacteriota.